RNAcentral lists this ribosomal RNA (331 nucleotides) under uncultured Bacteroidales bacterium. Its description in RNAcentral is "bacterial SSU rRNA". It matches the Rfam family "Bacterial small subunit ribosomal RNA", at positions 22 to 352 of the family's 1533-position model. Lineage: Bacteria; Pseudomonadati; Bacteroidota; Bacteroidia; Bacteroidales. The record is from RNAcentral.
GCUCAGGAUGAACGCUAGCUACAGGCUUAACACAUGCAAGUCGAGGGGUAGCAGGGUAGCAAUACCGCUGACGACCGGCGCACGGGUGAGUAACACGUAUCCAACCUUCCCAUAACUCGGGGAUAGCCUUUCGAAAGAAAGAUUAAUACCCGAUAGUACUUUUUUAGGGCAUCUUAGAAAAGUUAAAGAUUUAUUGGUUAUGGAUGGGGAUGCGUUCCAUUAGAUAGUUGGUGAGGUAACGGCUCACCAAGUCUUCGAUGGAUAGGGGUUCUGAGAGGAAGGUCCCCCACAUUGGUACUGAGACACGGACCAAACUCCUACGGGAGGCAGC